This 252-nucleotide ribosomal RNA is filed under the name uncultured bacterium. Its description in RNAcentral is "partial 16S ribosomal RNA". It matches the Rfam family "Bacterial small subunit ribosomal RNA", at positions 524 to 776 of the family's 1533-position model. The record is from RNAcentral.
UACGUAGGUGGCAAGCGUUGUCCGGAAUUAUUGGGCGUAAAGCGCGCGCAGGCGGUUCUUUAAGUCUGAUGUGAAAGCCCACGGCUCAACCGUGGAGGGUCAUUGGAAACUGGGGGACUUGAGUGCAGAAGAGGAAAGCGGAAUUCCACGUGUAGCGGUGAAAUGCGUAGAGAUGUGGAGGAACACCAGUGGCGAAGGCGGCUUCUGGUCUGUAACUGACGCUGAGGCGCGAAAGCGUGGGGAGCAAACAGG